CGGGGGGUGGCCUAGCUUGGUUUAGGGCACUUGCUUGGGGUGCAAGAAGUCAUGGGUUCAAAUCCCAUCUCCCCGA
This 76-nucleotide transfer RNA is filed under the name Candidatus Omnitrophota bacterium. RNAcentral describes it as "tRNA-Pro". It matches the Rfam family "tRNA". Rfam says of the family: Transfer RNA (tRNA) molecules are approximately 80 nucleotides in length. Their secondary structure includes four short double-helical elements and three loops (D, anti-codon, and T loops). Further hydrogen bonds mediate the characteristic L-shaped molecular structure. tRNAs have two regions of fundamental functional importance: the anti-codon, which is responsible for specific mRNA codon recognition, and the 3' end, to which the tRNAs corresponding amino acid is attached (by aminoacyl-tRNA synthetases). tRNAs cope with the degeneracy of the genetic code in two manners: having more than one tRNA (with a specific anti-codon) for a particular amino acid; and 'wobble' base-pairing, i.e. permitting non-standard base-pairing at the 3rd anti-codon position. Lineage: Bacteria; Pseudomonadati; Candidatus Omnitrophota. The record is from RNAcentral.